UCGAGGGGUAUAGUUCUUCGGAAUUAGAGACCGGCGCACGGGUGCGUAACGCGUAUGCAAUCUACCUUUUACAGAGGGAUAGCCCAGAGAAAUUUGGAUUAAUACCUCAUGGUAUAAUGAGUUGGCAUCAACACAUUAUUAAAGUCACAACGGUGAAAGAUGAGCAUGCGUCCCAUUAGCUAGUUGGUAAGGUAACGGCUUACCAAGGCGACGAUGGGUAGGGGUCCUGAGAGGGAGAUCCCCCACACUGGUACUGAGACACGGACCAGACUCCUACGGGAGGCAGCAGUGAGGAAUAUUGGUCAAUGGGCGCAAGCCUGAGCCAGCCAUGCCGCGUGCAGGAUGACGGUCCUAUGGAUUGUAAACUGCUUUUGUACGGGAAGAAACAACUCUACGUGUAGAGUCUUGACGGUACCGUAAGAAUAAGGAUCGGCUAACUCCGUGCCAGCAGCCGCGGUAAUACGGAGGAUCCAAGCGUUAUCCGGAAUCAUUGGGUUUAAAGGGUCCGUAGGCGGUUUAGUAAGUCAGUGGUGAAAGCCCAUCGCUCAACGGUGGAACGGCCAUUGAUACUGCUAGACUUGAAUUAUUAGGAAGUAACUAGAAUAUGUAGUGUAGCGGUGAAAUGCUUAGAGAUUACAUGGAAUACCAAUUGCGAAGGCAGG
This 662-nucleotide ribosomal RNA is filed under the name uncultured Bacteroidota bacterium. RNAcentral's name for it is "bacterial SSU rRNA". It matches the Rfam family "Bacterial small subunit ribosomal RNA", at positions 62 to 725 of the family's 1533-position model. Lineage: Bacteria; Pseudomonadati; Bacteroidota. The record is from RNAcentral.